Molecule: long non-coding RNA, 1187 nt
Organism: Hemibagrus wyckioides
Lineage: Eukaryota; Metazoa; Chordata; Actinopteri; Siluriformes; Bagridae
Exons: 3
Source: RefSeq, a predicted model, not a curated record
CAAAGGUUGCACAUAUGGCCACGUUUCCAAGUAAUAAUAUGCAGGACACUUGCUGUCUUUGGACCUUAAGUGCAAAGAUAUAACACUUUACUCAUUCUGGAACAGUUUAGAAGAUACGGUUGAUAACGAUCAUGUCUUGUAUGUUUUAUGGAGUUUUACCGUUUGUUAUGCUACUCUGCUGGCUUAAAAUGCUGUCUUAAAUAUAACUCUAAUUGAGUCAUCUGAGUCCUGAGCUCAAGUUACUGUCUGUAGUGUCUGUGUGGGUUUCAUGCCGGGUUCUUCAGUUUCAUCCUUCCUCCCAAAAACAAGCAUGUAGACUGGAAAUUUUAUCUCUUGGUGUGAAUGGGUGUGAACAGUACCCUGCAAUGGACAGGUAUCCUAUCUAUGGUGAAUGCUUCUGGGAUUGGAUCUGGCUCCUCCUUGAACAUGACCUCAGAUGUUGUGUAUGAAUUCUACAUGGCUUUGUGGUUCCCCCGAUUGAUGUUGUAGCUAGAAACCUGAUGGGACUUUCAUUAUGCUUUUAUUUCAUUAUGCUAAUUUAAACUGAAUAAACAUGAUGAUUUGAAACAAAUGUUUUUUGUCUGUUCUGAUAUUCCACUUUGUGUAGUAGUGAAAAAGAUGCUUGUUAAAAUUCUGUAGGACUUUUUAUUUAUUUAUUUUUCUUAGCAUUGAGAAUGAAUUGUGAAGACCAUGUGGCUGACUUGUGAAGUCCCUCUGAAUUAUAUAUUAGCAGACGUUGGAUUCUGAACACGGUCCUGCUGGCAGACAUAAUGAUAAUUGUGGCCUUCGUUAGCAUGUAGUCAUUAUGUUGAAAUGACGAUGUGACAGAGGGAGGACUGAUGAGUAGAGGCUUUAACGAGACACUCCGAUAUUUUAUUCUAUUAGCUUAUGGAGUCAGGAACACAGAUCUCUCAGAGGUUAAUACUUUGGAAGUUUCCGUCCAUGCAGUAGGGCAUGAAGCAGCAUCAAUCAUUUAUUAAACUAAUGACAACAUCUAUAUAUAUGAUAAUAGGUUUCCUAUGCACAUAUGUCCUUCUUUCUCAUUUAAAUGGCAUGUGAGUACUAACUCAGUAUUGUACCAUUUAUUCUAAUGCAAGUUAAAUGAAAGGAACUAUAAAAAGCAGACUAUGUAAUUUACUUUGGAUUCUAUAUCUGCUUGUAUAAGGGUGUGUGUCUAUGUGUUUCAU